GCUCAGGAUGAACGCUGGCGGCGUGCCUAAUACAUGCAAGUCGAACGCUUGCUUGAGGACUUGUCUUCAAGCAGGAGUGGCGAACGGGUGAGUAAUACAUAAGCAAUCUGCCCAUCGGCCUGGGAUAACAGUUGGAAACGACUGCUAAUACCGGAUAGGUGAUGAAGAGGCAUCUCUCGAUCAUUAAAGUUGGGAUACAACACGGAUGGAUGAGCUUAUGGCGUAUUAGCUAGUAGGUGAGGUAACGGCUCACCUAGGCGAUGAUACGUAGCCGACCUGAGAGGGUGACCGGCCACAUUGGGACUGAGACACGGCCCAAACUCCUACGGGAGGCAGCAGUA
This 341-nucleotide ribosomal RNA is filed under the name uncultured bacterium. RNAcentral's name for it is "bacterial SSU rRNA". It matches the Rfam family "Bacterial small subunit ribosomal RNA", at positions 22 to 356 of the family's 1533-position model. The record is from RNAcentral.